AUACUUACCUGGCUGGGGAAAUACCAUGAUCUUGCUUAUCCAUUUGACUGGAGAUAUGCUGAAUUCUGUGAUUUCCCCAAAUUCAGGAAAUUCAACUGCAUUAUUUGUAAUAAUGGGGAACUGUGUUAAAGCUCUUCCCUG
Molecule: small nuclear RNA, 141 nt
Filed under: Mus pahari (shrew mouse)
Lineage: Eukaryota; Metazoa; Chordata; Mammalia; Rodentia; Muridae
Description: snRNA (MGP_PahariEiJ_G0033443.1)
Rfam family: U1 spliceosomal RNA
About the family: U1 is a small nuclear RNA (snRNA) component of the spliceosome (involved in pre-mRNA splicing). Its 5' end forms complementary base pairs with the 5' splice junction, thus defining the 5' donor site of an intron.
Source: RNAcentral